This is an RNA transcript of Sarcophilus harrisii (Tasmanian devil), 2032 nucleotides long. It is a transcript of the gene named OX-2 membrane glycoprotein, with no coding region annotated. The record is from RefSeq and is a predicted model, not a curated record. The transcript is spliced from 9 exons. Lineage: Eukaryota; Metazoa; Chordata; Mammalia; Dasyuromorphia; Dasyuridae.
AACCAUCUGAACCUAACUUUUUUUCUUUUACGGCAGAGUUAUAAAUUUAAUGGAAUUGCUUCCCCUGAAUUUGACAGCCUGAAAAUCCCUGGAGCCUGCGAGAUCCUAGAGAAUGAAGGGCUUCGGUCCUCCUACUGAAGCAAGGACAGCAAAUGAAGGGAUGAAACAGAGAUGGCUUAAGGAAGAGAACAGAGUGCUUGCAGAAAGCGGGAUGCUGGCGGAGCGGCAUCCUGUAGAGCGAAAACAGUGCAAAAGCAGAUCGCUGCUCGGGACUGGGACACCUUAAAACUUUUCUAGCUUUCCGUCAGCAUCUUUUGCUAGUAUUUAAAGGCAGGUCAUUCUUGCCUCUGGCUUAAUCAAUCUUGAAGCCAGACGCUUGCUUUCGGGACUAGCUUUAAGAGAGCUGCCUUUGGGACCUGCAACCGCGGUUGGAUUUUUUGCAGUGCUGGGCUGAGAAGUGAAAGAGAAAAUUACUUCUGGGAAUAGACUGAAGACCGCUGCCCCAGAGCAGCAGAACCGUACUUAAAUCCAAUUCUCGCGAGUCAAGACAUCACCCGGUGAUUGUCACGCUCCUCGUUGAAUGGGAAGGAAGAUACGCAGCAACAGGGAAUGUUAAGAAUAUUGAGCUCCACUAGUGAGCAGAGACUCCCAUACCAAUGUGUCACAUUUGAACUAGCUGGUGUUCCAUCCACUCACUGCGCCACCAAGCUUUCAGUUCUCCAUAAAGGGGCGUGACUCAUGUUGUCUGGAGAAAAUCGCUCCUGGUUUUCUUCUGCAACGGAUUCUGAGCUCUUUAGCUUGGAAGUCCUUUCAGUCGCCAAAAUCUUGGAGAGUAAGGGACUUCCCUCUUCUGGCUGAUGGAGCUGCAAGUACAUGAGAAAUUCUUCUCUCAUCAUUUCAAAUACAGUCUGAUUUGGAGCAUGACUCUUGUGAUGCAGUGCUGGACACAAGGAAAUGUGGUGACUGAGGAUGAGACAGUGAUGCUAGAGAGACCUGCUUCCUUAAAAUGUUCCCUGCAGACUCUUCAAGAGAUCAUGAUAGUCACAUGGCAGAAACUCAUUUAUGGAAGACCAGAAAACAUGGCAACUUUCAGCCAACAACAUGGAAUAGUAAUCCAACCAGCUUACAAGGAUAAAAUAGAAAUAACCCAGCCGGGACUCAGUGAAUCAGCCAUCACUUUCCUGAAAACUUCAGUUGAGGAUGAGGGAUGCUAUUUAUGCAUCUUUAACAUCUUUGGUGUUGGAACAGUCUCAGGAAAAACCUGCCUCAGCCUUUAUGUACAGCCUAAAGUAUUCCUUAACUACCAAUUCUCUGAAAACCACCUAAAUGUCACCUGCACUGCCACUGCACGUCCACCUCCAGUGAUCUCCUGGAAGGUGGAGCUAGAGGUGCAGAAUAGCACCGAGCGCACCAAAUAUCUAAAUGGCACCACUUCAGAAACUAGCAUCCUUUACUUCAAAGACCCUGAGAACCAAGUGGGGAAAAAGAUACUCUGUAUAGUGAAGCACAUGGAGAACAAGACGGAAUAUGUUGUGAUCCCAAACAAAAAUGGCACAGGCCAUAAUUUUUCAGUGCCCAUAUUUGUGGGUAUUCUUGUUCCUGUAGUGAUCCUGCUGACCUUGAUUGUUAUCUUACUGUACUGGAAAUAUCGACGCCAGAGUAGAGGAAUAUAACUUUUCCUCUGAAGACUGCUUUAAAUGUAUCCCUAAAAUUUGGAUGAAGAAAUUGAGGGAUAGAAUUGCUAAAUAACACUAUGUCAUAGAACAUCAUAAUGGACCUCUCAAGUCAUUCCCUGACCUAUGGGACUCCGAAGUAAAAGAAGAACCUGGGGUCACCAAGAGCUUAAAAGGAAGAAAGAAAUGGGAUAAGACUCUGGAGAAUUCUGUUACUGUUAAUAAUUAAUUAAUUAUGUGAACUUGUUCUGCUUUUUACAAGAAUGUCAAUCUCUACCCAGAGAGAGAAUUAUGGAAAAUGAGUAUGGACCACAACAGCAAGAGUGGAAAUGCUUGCAUUUUUGUUUUCCUUCUCAGGU